RNAcentral lists this ribosomal RNA (764 nucleotides) under uncultured Candidatus Poseidoniales archaeon. RNAcentral describes it as "bacterial SSU rRNA". It matches the Rfam family "Archaeal small subunit ribosomal RNA", at positions 1 to 771 of the family's 1478-position model. The record is from RNAcentral. Lineage: Archaea; Methanobacteriati; Thermoplasmatota; Candidatus Poseidoniia; Candidatus Poseidoniales.
UUCUGGUUGAUCCUGCCGGAGGCUACCGCUAUUGGAGUUCGAUUAAGCCAUGCGAGUCGCGAGAAAUUAGAUUCUCGGCGUACCGCUCAGUAACACGUGGGUAACCUGCCCUAUGCUGGAUAAUAACCUCGGGAAACUGAGAAUAAUGAUCCAUAGUUCACUACGCCUGGAACGGUGAGUGGAUGAAAGCUCCGGCGGCAUAGGAUGGGCCUGCGGCGUAUCAGGUUGUAGGGGGUGUAACGUACCCUCUAGCCCUCUACGCGUACGGGUGUUGGGAGACAUAGCCCGGAGAUGGAUUCUGAGACACGAAUCCAGACCCUACGGGGUGCAGCAGGCGCGAAAACUUGGCAAUGCGAGAAAUCGUGACCAGGGAACUCCAAGUGCAUCGGGUAAGACCGGUGCUUUUCUUGACUCUAAAUAGGUCUUGGAAUAAGGGGUGGGUAAGGACGGUGCCAGCCGCCGCGGUAAUACCGGCGCCUCAAGUGGUAGUCGCUUUUAUUGGGCCUAAAACGUCCGUAGCCGGUCUGAUACAUUCGUGGGUAAAUCAACCAGCUCAACUGGUUGAAUUCUGCGAGGACGGUCAGACUUGGGACCGGGAGAGGUGUGGGGUACGCUCAGGGUAGGGGUAAAAUCCUGUCAUCCUGAGCGGACCACCUGUUGCGAAGGCGCCACACUAGAACGGAUCCGACGGUCAGGGACGAAGCCUAGGGCACGAACCGGAUUAGAUACCCGGGUAGUCCUAGGUGUAAACGCUGUGGACUUGA